GCUGCACGCUCACGACAACACCGGGCUGGUGGUGUGCUGAUUAUGUCCCUGC
RNAcentral lists this unclassified non-coding RNA (52 nucleotides) under Alexandrium catenella. RNAcentral describes it as "partial 3' external transcribed spacer". The record is from RNAcentral. Lineage: Eukaryota; Dinophyceae; Gonyaulacales; Pyrocystaceae.